Molecule: non-coding RNA, 365 nt
Organism: Podarcis lilfordi (Lilford's wall lizard)
Lineage: Eukaryota; Metazoa; Chordata; Lepidosauria; Squamata; Lacertidae
Source: the annotation of a GenBank genome assembly
GUGUUGUUGCGAUCGUAAUCCUGCUCAGUACGAGAGGAACAGAAGUUCAGACCUUUGGUGUAUGUGCUUGGCUGUUGAGCCAAUGGGGUGAAGCUACGAUCUGUCGGAUUAUAACUGAACGCCUCUAAGUCAGAAUCCCCCCAAAUGUAUUUAUAACUAUUAUCUAAUUCCCACUUUAGCUGUGUUUCUGCUAUCAGAAUAUUUUUAUUGAAACAAUCAAUUUUCUUUCAAAUCCAUUCCUAGUCUCUCAAUUCAGAUACUCUUUGUACAAGUCCUUUGCAAAACUAUGUAAAUCUACAAAGUAGGGCUGCUAUGCUCCAAAUUCACACAGUUAUGAAGGGAUGUUUACUACUAGUAUUAUUUUG